UUGGAGGGCAAGUCUGGUGCCAGCAGCCGCGGUAAUUCCAGCUCCAAUAGCGUAUAUUAAAGUUGUUGCAGUUAAAAAGCUCGUAGUUGAACCUUGGGCCUGGCUGGCCGGUCCGCCUCACCGCGUGUACUGGUCCGGCCGGGCCUUUCCUUCUGGGGAACCUCAUGCCCUUCACUGGGCGUGUUGGGGAACCAGGACUUUUAACUUUGAAAAAAUUAGAGUGUUCAAAGCAGGCCUUUGCUCGAAUACAUUAGCAUGGAAUAAUAGAAUAGGACGUGUGGUU
This 283-nucleotide ribosomal RNA is filed under the name uncultured Ascomycota. RNAcentral describes it as "partial 18S ribosomal RNA". It matches the Rfam family "Eukaryotic small subunit ribosomal RNA", at positions 548 to 836 of the family's 1831-position model. Lineage: Eukaryota; Fungi; Ascomycota. The record is from RNAcentral.